UAUCGCCGAUCGCCUUGAGUUGAUAUGGCUCAGAACGAACGCUGGCGGCGUGCCUAACACAUGCAAGUCGAGCGCGAAUGGGAGCAAUCCCUAGUAGAGCGGCGCACGGGUGCGUAACACGUGGGUAAUCUGCCUCGAAGACCGGGACAACCUGCCGAAAGGCUGGCUAAUACCGGAUAAGACCACGGGAGCUUCGGCUCCUGCGGGAAAAGGUGGCCUCUGCAUGCAAGCUAUCACUUUGAGAUGAGCCCGCGGCCCAUCAGCUAGUUGGCGGGGUAAUGGCCCACCAAGGCAACGACGGGUAGCUGGUCUGAGAGGACGAUCAGCCACACUGGAACUGAGACACGGUCCAGACUCCUACGGGAGGCAGCAGUGGGGAAUUUUGCACAAUGGGCGAAAGCCUGAUGCAGCAACGCCGCGUGUGUGAUGAAGGUCUUCGGAUUGUAAAGCACUUUCGACCGGGACGAAACCCGGUGACCUAAUACGUCACCGCCUGACGGUACCGGGAGAAGAAGCACCGGCUAACUCUGUGCCAGCAGCCGCGGUAAUACAGAGGGUGCAAGCGUUGUUCGGAAUUAUUGGGCGUAAAGCGCGUGUAGGCGGCUUGGCAAGUCGGGUGUGAAAGCCCUCGGCUCAACCGAGGAAGUGCGCCCGAAACUGCCUUGCUCGAGUGCCGGAGAGGGUCGCGGAAUUCCCCAAGUAGAGGUGAAAUUCGUAGAUAUGGGGAGGAACACCGGUGGCGAAGGCGGCGACCUGGACGGUACU
This 765-nucleotide ribosomal RNA is filed under the name uncultured bacterium. Its description in RNAcentral is "bacterial SSU rRNA". It matches the Rfam family "Bacterial small subunit ribosomal RNA", at positions 1 to 741 of the family's 1533-position model. The record is from RNAcentral.